This is a non-coding RNA of Anas platyrhynchos (mallard), 1574 nucleotides long. The record is from RefSeq and is a predicted model, not a curated record. NCBI's taxonomy places the organism in Eukaryota, Metazoa, Chordata, Aves, Anseriformes, Anatidae.
CCAAAGCAAAAUACAGCAGAAACAGCUUUCCAUUUUAACAAGCAAUACAGAAUACUUAGCAGUAGGGUACAGAUCCGAAGUCCUCACAGCUUUCACCAGUAACUUGUGAAGUGCAGUAGCUGCUGUGGCUGCAAUAUCCUUCUCAGGUAAUGAAAACAGCAGUGGGACUUGGAGCAGUCUCUGCUCACAGCUGUCUCAACUCCCUCCAGUACUGCCCAUGAAACCACCCCUCACUUACUCCUAAAGGAAAGCUACAGUUAAGGUGAGAAAACCUUAUCAAAGGCAACAGAGAAGACCUCCAAGCUCCUGCAAAUUUUCCUCUCACUCUGCAAGGAAUUCUCUUCCUCGCUUACAGCCUGGAACUUCCUGAGGACAACGUACAGUUUUCACAACAUACUUCAAAGAAGAAAAGCUGUCAGCAAUUCAUUGCAAUACCUCUGGAACAAACACUAACUGAAAAGAAAACAAGUCAAAAGGAAGAAGAACAUCUUUCAACAUUUUUGGCAAGAAAAUCUUAUUCAUCAAAGGAAAAAGCUUCCAUUGAAAAGACUCCAUCAACACAAGGGGGGCGAAUCUGGAAAGCGAUGAAGCUAAAUGCUAUGAAACUUCUUCCACUCCUGGCUAGACAGAUAGACUCCUGCAUCCUUUUUCCUCCCACACGCUCUCCCAGAGUUUCAUUCUGUUGAUCAAAACAAAGAAAGUAAAGUAACAACCACUAACUCAUAUUUGGAUUAAAUUUGUGCUACCAAAUUACCAGUCACACUGCCUAGAUAUGUACCCAAUAUUUAAAACCUCCAGGCAGAGACCACUGCUCUCAAUGCAGACAUCUGAAGUACCUUCCACGGGAUGGAUUUCCAGUAUACGAACUUUAGGAAAGAGGAGGAUGGAAACACUAAAACACAGAGUGUUUCCACAUAACUGAGGCUGGUCAAUGGGACAGACACUGCAUUUAAAUCCAGCUGGCACCACCUCUGCUUUCUGCCUGGAUCUGGCUUCUACCAGUUGUUACACAGGCAAGGCAGGAGCACCAUGGACUCAUUAGCACAGAGAUUUCCCUCCACAUACACAGGCAGUUAAUGGGAACUGGAGACGAACCAAGGGAUCAAGCUUCUCAAAAAAAAAAAAAACCAAAAAAAAAAAAACCCUCCCUGCAAAACGCAGCCAGAAACAGUGUGAGUAGGGAGUUUGUUCGCAAUGCUUUUUACAGAGAUACCCAUCAUUCCCAGGCUGCUAUUAACAGCUAUUUUAAGUGACAGAUGAUUCUCCUAAUCUGCGACUCCACAGUUACAUUUUCCUACUACCAAUGCAAAGCCACGGCCAAGGACACCAUCAGUCUCUGUUGCCCGGAUGCUUGGCAUUUAAAGGAUUGUGAUUUUCGUUUUAUUAGUUCAGCCUUUUUCAGGAAGCAGAUUACGGCAGGAGCUAGGAAAAGAAGCCAAAAGCAGCACAAGGACCAGGGCAAGCUACAAAGCAAAACUGGAACUACAAAGCUACCUGUUGUUCUGGAAAGGCCACUAAUUAGUGACUUUCUGAAGCCACAUGGAAAAAUAAACACUUUCCCCUCACAGUCAAGA